Molecule: long non-coding RNA, 10267 nt
Organism: Ctenopharyngodon idella (grass carp)
Lineage: Eukaryota; Metazoa; Chordata; Actinopteri; Cypriniformes; Xenocyprididae
Exons: 2
Source: RefSeq, a predicted model, not a curated record
ACAGAUAAGCGCAAGUAUUGCGAACCAAUCCAGUCUGGCUGCAGCUCACUGUCCAUUAUCACUACGACAGGACUGUACCGUUAUUUCAACCCAGGACACAUUGUUAAGAUGGGAAAUGUGACACCCGAUUAGGCCCACAGGUGGUUUUAAUCAUGCAAAGACUUCAUCUGUUUAGUAAAGAAUGAAUUUUAUGUGCAUUAAACAGAUGUUGGUCCUCUAAUGCACACAAAACCUACUGUAAAAGGCAUAAAUGGUCUUCAAAUAUAAAUAUGAAGUAGUUUCGUUGUCUUAUUAAGUACCAAAAACAGUGUGUUGACCAAAAACAGAAGAAAAAAAGACAGGUGACACUCAGGUCAACAGUGCAUGUAUUUCCUUUGUUUCCUCUGGCUCUGGGGGUUGUUGGUUAGUGGCGGGUAACAGGAAAAUGAAAUUCAGGAAGUCCCUUUGUGGUAGUUUUCUGGGUAUGUAGAUAGAAGCAGAGGACUUGGCAGAGAUACAGGUGUAAAGUCAUAAAUUACUGAUGUUAUCAGCUCUAGCAAGUGCACAAAGUCACUUUUCUUUUUGUGUAAAUGCAAAUAAAGCCGUAUGUGUUCCUCAAGCUGUCCCUGGCAAACCCAGUUCGGUAACACUUUACAAUAAGGUUCAUUAGUUAAACAUUAGUUAAUGUAUUAACUAACAUGAAUUUACUAUGAGCAAUACAUUUGUUACUGUACUUACUAAUCUUCGUUAACAUUAGUUAAUGAAAAUACAGUUGUUCAUUGUUUGUUCAUGUUAGUUCACAGUGCAUUAACUAAUGUUAACAAGAUUUUAAUAAUGUAUUAGUAAAUGUUGAAAUUAACAUUAGCAAAGAUUAAUAAAUGCUGUAUAAGUGAAGUUCAUUAUUAGUUCAUGUUAACUAAUUUAGUUAACUAAUGUUAACUAAUGAACCUUAUUGUAAAGUGUUACCCACAUUUCAUGUGGUUAACUUCAAAGGUGCUAUACUAUACUUCUAAGUGAUCAGACUUAAAAGAGGUGAAAAUUCCCACAGAUUUACUUUGAAGUAGAGCUUUAAGCCAUAUUUAGAGAUCAGAAUAUUAAAGGGUUAUUUCACCCAAAAAUGAAAAUAAUGUCAUUUAUUACUCACCCUCAUGCCGUUCCACACCCGUAAGACCUUCGUUCAUCUUCGAAACACAAAUGAAGAUAUUUUUUAUUAAAUCCGAUGGCUCAGUGAGGCCUGCAUAGACAGCAAUGGUACUUCCUCUCUCAAGAUCCAGAAAGGUACUAAAAACAUAUUUAAAUCAGUUCAUGUGAGUACAGUGGUUCAAUAUUAAUAUUAUAAAGCGACGAGAAUAUUUUUUGUGCGCCAAGGAAAAACAAACAAACAAACGACUUUUUAAUAAUAUCUAGUGAUGGCCGAUUUCAAAACACUGCUUUCAGAGCUUUAUGAAUCUUUUGAGUCGAAUCAGUGACUCGGAUCGCGUAUCAAACCACCAAACUGCUGAAAUCAUGAGACUUUGGCGCUCCGAUCCACUGAUUUGAUUCGUAAGGCUCCGAAGCUUCAAGAAGCAGUGUUAUGAAAUCGUAAUAUCAUUGCGCCUGCUGCACCCCUGGUACGGCAACAAAGUUCUUUGAUUAUUACGCCGGAAUGAGAGUAUAGUUCCUAGCCAUAUCGGCCUAGAAAAUUCCAACUUUUCAUUUUCUGUCGGUCUUAGUAUACGAUGUAACUACAGAAGAGUCAAGUUUUAAAUAGGAAAAAUAUCGAAACUCAUUGGUCAUUUUUGAGCGAGAUGCUAACGGUCUAAUCAGAUUCAAUGAUCUAUGCUAAGCUAUGCUAAAAGUGGUACCGCCAGACCCGGAGAUCAGCUGAAUGGAUUCAAAAACGGUAAAACUCAAUUGUUUAACUCUAGGGGAGUUGGAAAAUGAGCUUAUUUUCAAAUAAAGUGGAGUGUUCCUUUAAAGGGACUUUGACGAAGGUCUUAGGGGUGUGGAACGACAUGAGGGUGAGUAAUUAAUGACAUUAUUUUCAUUUUUGGUUGAACUAACCCUUUAAGGGUCAGUAAGCAACCACCCUAGUAACCACCUAGAACACCCUAGCAACCACACAGCAAUGCUCAAUAGCAUUCCUGGGGCUCAAACAUUAGAGCAUGACAUAGUUAUUUAAGUAACAUUGAUAUAUUAUUAUAGUUUAAUAUUUUUACAUUUUCUGUUUGAAUUUUAAAGUUUUAGUAAUUUUGUUGUGUGUUGCCAUUUCAAUUAGUUUUAUUCUUUAACAUGUCUAUAUAGUUUUUAUUAAGUUUAAGUUAGUUACUAAUAGAAAUGCUGAUUUUUUUAUAGGCUAUAUUUUAUUCUAGUUCAGUGCUUUAUUUUAUUUCAGGUUAUUAUCGUUAACUAGAAUCAAAAACAGUUCUGUUAAUUGAAAAAAAGCUGAAAUAAAAAAACAUAAAUAUUAGUUAAACUUAAACUAAAUGAAAAUUAGAAAUGUUGCCUUAGCACUAAACUGAAACGAGUUUAAGUUGAAGCACUAAAAUUAUUAACUGAAAAUAAAUAAAAUCUAAAUCUAAAGCUGAAAUAAACAUUAAGUAAACCUAAAUAGCAAUAUUUUAAUGGGCUACAUCUAAGAAGGAUGUGACGGUUACGCGCGCUCCCGAGAGCAUCUCUUCCGUUACCUAUCUCAAAGUCCCUUUUGUUAUUCUAUAGUUUUUUGGUAAUAUUACACAUGAAACACACACACUGACAUUCUGCACUGUAAUUUCAAGGUGUCAUGCAAAGAAAAGGUGUAAGUCUCACCUAGACAAAUAUUGUUUAUAGUCUCAAAUAUACUUUAUAAUCAAACUAUCACAACAGUGUAAUUUUAAUUACCUCAUUUGUUGUCAUGAUGCGCAGAGCUGGUGCAAAUGUCCACAUUGCUAUGAUCAAAUGCUUUCUUAACUACUGUUUCCUCACAGCUGUCAUUUUUGUUGUGUUUAUUUUGUUUUUGAAAGGAAAGCACGCUGCACUAUCAUCUAAAUGUCGCUCUCAAUAGUGUGGGCGGCGUCAGAAUGGUCGUUAACAGUAUUAAGGUGUUCCCAGUUUCUUUUUACUUGUUGUGUGCAAAGAACAAAAACCUUCGCCGAUUGAAAUGCGUUCAGUCUCUUGUGGAUGCGUGCACGAGUGCGACUCGCGAGGCGAGCACGAGCAAUAAGUUGCUGGCUGCAGUUCAUUUAACGGCCACUGGUGUCACUAAUAACAAGGGUUUCUACAGAAAAAAAAAAAAAAAACGUAUAAAUGCCAAAAGCAUAUAACGAAAAUACUAAAAAUGAAACUAAAAUUAACAAGAAAAUUAACAAUAUAAAAACAAAAAUACAAUUCAAAAUAUGAAUAAACCUAUAAUAAAACAAAACAAAACAAAAAUGCUGAAAAUGUUGCUUUUUAAAGGGAUAGUUCACCCAAAAAAUAAAAUUCUGUCAUCAUUUACUCACCCUCAAGUUGUUCUAAACCUGUAUAAAUUUCUUUCUUCUACUGAACACAAAAGAUGAUGUUCUGAAGAAUAUGGGUAACCAAACAAUUGAUGGACCGAAAUGACUUCCAUAUUAUGAAUAAAAAAAAAAAACUAAAAAAAAAAAAAACUUUGGAAGUCAAUGAGGCCCAACAACUGUUUGGUUUGGGAACCAUGAGUUCUUUUUGGAACCAAAAACGGUUCUUCAUCACUGCGAGAAACCUCCUUUUUGAACCUUUAUUUUUAAGAGUAUAUAACACAACAGGCAAACACACGUUUUCUUGACGAAAAUUGAAUUAAUUUCUGUAAGUUCUGUUAAUAUCAGUCUUUAAUGAACAACACUCAAUCUGUGACUUUUAAUGAAUCUCAUAAGAAAUAGAAAGUAACAGGAAAGGAAGAAACUAAAAAGGAAAGCGACAGGGAUGAGAAAAAAAACAAUUAACAAACACACCUCAGUCUUACAGAUCGAUUUGUGUUGCACAGAUUAUGGGGUAUGUUGAUAAUGCAUGGGUUGAGGGGUUGUAUGAAGACAUGUAACCGAGUUAAACCUGUCACUGGUUUACAGAACAGUCACAUGGCUUGGUAUCAUAACCUUAUUGGAUGAAGCGCGGGAAAAGGCUUCAGUACAGAACACGAGGCCGCUAUCUUUCUACACUGGACGUAACGGACAGCCAGGAGAGUGUGCAAAAACAGAGAUAGAGAAGACGAGAGACAGAGUGUUUUAGUUGACCAACACUCGUUUCUCUUGUGACCACUGUACUGCUGAGAUCUGAAUCUGUUGCUGCUUGUGUGUAUUGUUUACAAUAUGUUUACAAAUUUAUUAAAGUUACAUAAAAAUGAUUUUUCUGUUUUUACAGGCACACAUUGUUUGACUGCGAGUCUGAGACUGGAUGAAGUGGAUCUAGUGACGAUGGAGAAUGAUACUUGCUGAAUGGAGUCAAUGACUGCAGACAACACUUCACACACAGACUGGGGACGAUGGAGGGAACUCGGAGACAAGGGGAACAGGUAAGUAGCAAGGAGAGUCCUUGAGGUAAGCAUACAGGUAAAUCCUUAGAUGCGACCGAGACCAGACAAUGUGACUGUGUGUGUGAGUGUCUUAAGUAGUGCUGGUGAUGAGUGAGCUGAUGAGGUGCAGGUGGCGGUGAUUAGUACUCCGGGGAAGGUGUGCGCUGUGAUUGGUGGAUGUUGGAGCCUGGCGUGUCUGUGACACAAGUGGUAACUAAAUAUAUUUUUUAAAUACAGAGAUAGUAUAUUAAAAGCACAUUUUAGUUCAUAUUUCAUGGUGUCUCAAAAUAGCACAGUUGAGUACACUUAGAUGUUCUUAAGGUUAUCUUAAGUAAAGAAGAAUUUUUAGUAUAUUAAGCACAAAAUUAGUGCGCGAAAAUAGAGCACUUUAAGUACAUUAUAGAAGUGUACUUUUUUUUCACCUGGGCACACCCAACUAAACAACGCAUGACAUCACAGGAGGUGUCUUAAAGGUAUAUAACAAUUUAGAUUUUGAAGCCCGAAAAAAAUGCAUCCAUCCAUCAUAAAUAUAAUCCAUAUGGCUCCAGAGGGUUAAUAAAGGCCUUCUGAAGUGAAGCGAUGGGUUUUUGGAAUAAAAAUAUACAUAUUUAAAACUUUAUAAACUAAAAUAAUUAGCUUCCGCCAGAUGACAAUACGCAUACUGUCGACUUGCACAGUUUAAACAAAUAGGGCUGGGCAACAAACUCAAGCUCCUCUUCCAUCAAAAUCCUUCAAUAUUUCUCUUUAAAAUUUCUCAUUUUAGACUUCUAAUUCGUGACUGGUGUUUUCUACAUUCGCUGCUCAUCGAAGUCAUUGUCGUCAGUCAUCUACAUUAGAACAUUUCAGACCUGACCUUGUUGUAUGUGAGAGAAAUUUGACGUUAACAAGUGAGGAACAGCUUGACUCAGAGGAUUCAUCAGCAGCAGAUUUUAUUAGAACUUCAGUUGGACAACGAGUCCGUUCAGCGGUGAAUUGCAUCCCUUUUCCCUCGGAUACAAGCAGUUGUACAUGUGUCUCAGUCAGCUGUCCAGGAAAUUGUAGAGGAUUUAUUUGACAAAUAACUUAAGCAAUCAAUAGAAAGCAUUUUAAGGAACAUAACUGCACAUCUCAAGAAUGUAUCAAAGACUCAUUAAUUGAAGCUUUACAGAGUUCAAACGCUCUUACUUUCAAAGGAAGGGCCACUUGGUACAGAGUACAAAAAGGCAAUCAUUUUACAGUUAUUGAGCCUGUUGAAUAUGUUUUGAGUGCACGUGAAAGGACUCAUUCGUUUAUGUUCCUAAUCUAAACUUAUUAAGUGAAGUUAUAAAGAGAAGUUAUACUGAAAGCAAUGGUCAUAAAUAAUACAGUUGAACAGCCUAUUACAGGUCAUUUCUAGAUGGUGACUAUACAACUUCUUACAGGUCAAGGUGUAAGCGUGGCCCUUACAUUGCAUAUUGACGACUUCGAAAUUUGUAAUCCUUUAGGCACAUCCAAAAAGAAACUUUCCCCCUGGUUUCUCAGACAAGGCUUAAGUCUAGUCUCACACUAAAAUGCAUGUUUGAUCUGUUUUAACUGAAAGAAAAUUGCACUGACAUAUCUUUAAAUAUACAAGUUUUGUAGGUUUUGUUUAGCUAGUCGUGCUGACAUACAAACUUGUGAUAUUAGAAGUGUUAACUUUGAAGCUGUGAAUGUCUCAAAGGAAAACUAACUUGCGUUUGUUGAUAGUGUGAAACAACACUGUCCUUUAAACAGAUUAACAUUUUUUCACACAUGCAAAUGCUUUCAGUCUGGUUUUUUACAUGAUAGAAGGCAUCGUACCAAUGGAACCAAGUUUGUGCUUGGAAGAUUUUAUUUCCAAAAAAAUAUUUCACAUUGGAAGCACUUAAAGGGUUAGUUCAGUCUUAGAUGAACGAAGGUCUUAUGGGUGUGGAACGACAUGAGGGUGAGUGAUUAAUGACAGAAAUUUCAUUUUUGGGUGAACUAAACCUUUAAUAGUGAAAUACAAGGCUUUCACCAUGGCUUGUCGGACAAAGCAACAGUAACUAAGGGGGGGGCGGGUCUUUGCGAAGGGUCAAUUAGUCCUUGAGAUAAAAGACUUGCCCUGCGUCUCAAUCAGCUCCCUAGCUCCCUAGGUCGUGAAUCAGUAUAUCGUGACAAUGAAUGUGGCCGACUCCCUGAUCAGUGCCCUGACUACUGAACUAGGGAGCUGAUUGAGACGUACCCUUGGUUGAGUUAUUGUCAACCCCAUUUUUUACUUCCAAGUCCCUUUAUUAUUUGCGACCCAAAAUAUCAGACCACAGGGUGUUGCUUCUGACUGUCUUCCCUGAUUACAAGUUGCGUCCCAAGCGUCACUUCGUAGAACAUUAUUCUUAUCUCAUAAAAAAUUUUGAACUUCAAAACAUUUUUUUUUUUUUUUUUUUUUAAGAGGGUUGUGUGUGAUGCCUGCAAUUUUAAAAAAUGUUUCACCCUGGCCUCAAGGCAUCAACUGAUGUUGGUGUAUUCUCUUAACAUGCCAAGUAUUUUCAAGCCAGAAGUUGAGACUGCUAAAGGUGUCUACUGUGUGUCUGGACAUCUGUGGAAUCAGACAAGAUUCUGAAAAGGUUCAGUAACAUUAUUCACUCUGUUCCGCAGCACUUACCCCCAAUGUCUUGGAUUAACCCAUGGAACAAAAUGGAACAAAAUGGAACAAAAAUAUUCAAAAGUAAUGAUUCUUUCUGUUGGAAGUACAAGCAGUCUUCCGGAACUUUGGUAGAAUUUUGGAAAUAUGUGUUGUGAUGGAUAAAGCCGAAUGGUUCUCAUUGUGUAACCGUUCCAUUCCUUGCCGAUCCAGCCAGCUGGUACGGAUACGGUUUCAUUUUCCACUGUGGGGCUGAUAACGGCCGCUCUUUGGAAUGUAAUACAAAAGCGUCAGUCGUUGCCUUGGUGAUGCAAUGGUUUACUGAUGAUACGAGAUAAAUAGUGACCGCGUUAUGGAGGAUGAUCAGAUAUUUCUUUUAUUUGUAUUAUUAAUUUGUGUUUAUGUCGCUCAAAUAGAGCACUUAGCCAGCUACAGAGAAACUGGUAGCUAGGAAACAAACAAGUGACCAAUCCUGAGUCACUUCACGGAUUCUAUCAGCACGAUUCAGCACGGUUAAGCCGGUGCACACUCUGCGAUUUAUAAUAGUCCUUUAGGAUUGUUGCUUGUCAGACUGUACGAACAUUAUCCUCGUGUCACACUGUGGGAUCUCAGCUGUCAUUUAUGUCAGACUGUACUACAGUCAAGACGCGUUAAAAACGGACGCACGCAUGAAAACUUAUCCGGAUACAUUCGGUGACUGUGAGCUGCAUUACACGCGGGACUGAAAUGGUGGCUAACAAAGAAAUCUCUAGCGUUAAUUUUGAUCACGGCGUGUCUUGAAAAACGAAGACAAUUUGACGUUUGUCGUAGGAGAAGUCACACUGGAGGAUUGUGCGCCAAAUCUUCUGACACUGCCAGAAUUUCGUCGGAGGUAAAAUUUGAUCGCAACGGUCAUUAAAAGAUUCAGUGAACAGUGAACAUGUCAAACUAACGAUCAGAGACUACAGAUUUUAGCCUAGGAUUAUAGGAAUCUUUUAGGAUUCUUAAAAUUUGUCUCAAAUCGUGGCCAAAAUCGCACAGUGUGAACCCGGCUUUACUCAAUCGUACCGAGAACAGUUUCCAGUGUUGCCAAGUCCUUGGUUUUCCCGCGGCUAAUUUUAGCCGGUUGCCGAGGGUUGUUUUUCAUGUCCGCGGGUUGAAGUGACCCCAAAUAGCAUGAUAUUUAGUCCCUGGAAUGCGAAUUUUAACAGGGGAACCCCACCAAAAAAACGUGGAUUUACCCCCCGAAACACGAUUUUUACAGAGGGACCAGGGUUGUCAGGUUUUCACAACAAAACCCACCCAAUUGCUACUCAGGACUAUCCCAAUUGCAUUUUCAGGGGAGGUCCUACAGUAAAAAAUCCACGUUUUUGGCGGGGUUCCCCAGGUAAAAUGCCAGGGGCUAAAUAUCAUAGUAUUUGGGGUCGCUUCAAUCCGCAGACAUGAAAAACAACCCACGGCAACAGGCUAAAAGUAGCCACGGGAAAACCAAGGACUUGGCAACACUGGAAACUGUAUGAUUGUCUAAUCGUGUUGGUAGAAUCCGUGAAGUGAUGUCGCCACUCAGGAUUGGUCACUACCAGUUUCUCUGUAGCUGGCUAAACGCUCUAUUUGACUGACGUAAACACAAAUUAAUAAUAAAAUUCAAAGAAAUAUCUGAUCGUCCUCAAUAACACAGUCUUUAUUUACAUCUCAUAUCAUCAGUAAACCAUGGCAUUACCAAGGCAACAACUGAUGCUUUUGUAUUAUAUUCCACAAACUGCGGACUUGGCAACACUGCAAGGGACCCCUGAAAUGCGAUUGGGCUAGUUUUAGGCUAGUUUUGAGUAGCAAUUGGCCGGAUUUUGGUUGUGAAAACCUGGCAACCCUGGUAAUAGUGCCGUGCCAUACCAGACUCAAUUGGAACCAUUCCUUACCAUUCUAAGAACUGUUCGAACCGACAGUGGAAAAGCGGCUAAAUAUGCUUCAUCAUUGAAGGAUUUAAGGCCUACUUUGUGGAGCAUCUGCGGAGUUACCAUCCUGUAAAGAAAAGCCCAGCUGGAUGUCUUCUGGUAACACCUGCAGAUUUUUUUUUUUUUUGGUAACACUUUAUUUCGAUGGUCCACUUUAGACAUUGAUUCUACUAACUAUAUGUAAAUUUGCAACUACAUGUCAACUAACUUUCAGAGUAUUAGUAGACUGUCUGCUUAAUAUCUGCUAACACUUUAUUUUGAUGCUCCCCAACAGACAUUCUACUGACUGUAAGUAACUUUGCAAGUGCAUGUCAACAUAUAACCCAAACCCUGACACCUAACCUAACAAUCUAGUAACAGUCUACUUGUAGCCUACUCUAAUGAGAGUUAGUUUACAUGUAGUUGCAAAGUUACUUACAGUUAGUUGUAGAAUGUCUAAAGUGGACCAUCAAAAUAAAGUCUUAACUUCUUUUUUUUUUUUAAUUCUCCUUUAUAUUUUAUUACCUUGUAAGGCAAAAUUUUUGAAAUAGGCAAAUUAGUUUUGCUGUACUGCUCAGUGACUCAUAAUAACACGAAAAAGAAUUGUGAUAAAAUCAUGAUCUUCCUGAAAAAAAAAUUGUGAUAUGAUAUUUUUGCCAUAUCGCUCACGUCAUGUUGUACAGUAUGUUGGGAACUGCAACUGACAGAAUGUACACUAUAGCAUGACACUAUGAUAUUUCUUCAGAUCGUGGAGACAUUUUAAUCGUUCACAAUCUAAAAUCAUGAUAUCACACACCCCUAAGGCAUUAACUAAUAUUAACAAAUGAGACCUUAUUGUAAAGUGUCACUGAUUUCUUGCAUUCCUUUUAUGUAAGAAUGGAUUUAUGAAAUAUUUACAUUGUUUUUAUGAAUGACACCAAAUUUAUUUAGACUUUUAAUAAGUUCAGAAAGUAUAAUGAGAUAUUACAAAUUAUUGUGACAGCAUACUGGUCAUUUUGGGUGAUAGUUUAUUUGCUAUCUUAUAAUUUAAGAAAAUGCUCAUUACAAAAAAUAACUUGUAAAACAGUAAAACAUAUUUCUGAGUGUGAACGCGCAGGUUUCUAUGGAAGCUUGAUUCUGCCAAGGAACAAAACUUUUUACUUUUUAAUUCUGACUUUAUUUCUCUCAAUUGCUAGUUUAUAUUUUGUAAUUCUGACUAUUUCUCUGAACUGUUAGAAAAUAUGUUAGAAAAAUUGUUAGAAAAGAUGGAGUUAUAGAAAAUUAUAGAAAGUCAGAUUUGUGAGACAUAAACUCGCAAUU